This 325-nucleotide long non-coding RNA is filed under the name Glycine max (soybean). RNAcentral's name for it is "long non-coding RNA (GMAX_LNC003844)". The record is from RNAcentral. Lineage: Eukaryota; Viridiplantae; Streptophyta; Magnoliopsida; Fabales; Fabaceae.
AGAUAUAGGUCUUGGGUAAGUAGUUGGUGACACCCAUGGGAAGAAAGAAUUAUCUUAUGAACAGUGACAUUUCAUUUUACCCUAAGAAGGUAGACCACGAGAAUGUAACGGCUUAGAGGUGCAGAUCACAUCACCUAGGCUGCCAAAGUCCCCCUUCUACUUUGUCUUGUUUCCUCACCCCUCCAAUCCUAACCUCCCACGUCUAUCCAUGUUGGAUAACACCUUUCACCACUUCUCUUUCAUCUUUCCUGUCUUGGUCCAAUUUCCCGCACCCCAUUUUGGGUUCCAUUUUAUCCUUUUUGCAAAAUGUAUCUUUCUACUGCCC